UUCCAGACUCCUACGGGAGGCAGCAGUGGGGAAUAUUGGGCAAUGGGCGCAAGCCUGACCCAGCAACGCCGCGUGAAGGAAGAAGGCUUUCGGGUUGUAAACUUCUUUUAAGAGGGAAGAGUAGAAGACGGUACCUCUUGAAUAAGCCACGGCUAACUACGUGCCAGCAGCCGCGGUAAUACGUAGGGGGCAAGCGUUAUCCGGAUUUACUGGGUGUAAAGGGGGCGCAGACGGCGAUGCAAGCCAGGAGUGAAAGCCCGGGGCCCAACCCCGGGACUGCCCUUGGAACUGCAUGGCUGGAGUGCGGGAGGGGCAGGCGGAAUUCCUGGUGUAGCGGUGAAAUGCGUAGAUAUCAGGAGGAACACCGGCGGCGAAGGCGGCCUGCUGGACCGCGACUGACGUUGAGGCUCGAAAGCGUGGGGAGCGAACAGGAUUAGAUACCCUGGUACA
Molecule: ribosomal RNA, 450 nt
Filed under: uncultured bacterium
Lineage: Bacteria
Description: bacterial SSU rRNA
Rfam family: Bacterial small subunit ribosomal RNA
Source: RNAcentral